CACUUGGCUGAGGUCCGAGAAAUGCAGUAUAAAAAUAAAGGAGCUGCGCCACAUCAGGGCUGCUGCAGCCACUGUCUGUCUAUCUUUGUUGUGUUGUCUGUGUUUUUUGUUCACUCCCAUUUCACCUGAGUGAGCAGCACACAACAUUUGGCGCCCAACGUGGGGCUCAAACCACCGUGGAGCAGGAACCCACAACCCUGAAGAAAUUGGAGAUAGGACGCCGGGGGUGACUUGGGACCCAGAAGGGGGCCAACUUCAGGUCAUCCUGGAUAUAAGUGCAAGAGAUUUCUCCAAGCUCUGCCAUAUGAUUGCGAUGACAACUUGAAACUUUCAGAUCCUGCUGCUGUUGCCAUUGCAGCUGCAUUCCUCCUACCGGUUCCUGGACUUGUCGCUGGAAUGCAGAAAUAUCUAAGCUGCCCUGUGCUUCUAUAUUAUCUGAACUCAACCAAGAAGUGAGAGAAGCGUGAGUUGCAGUACUUCAGAAUCACACUACCAUAGACUAUCUGCUGUUAAAAGAACAUGUAAGAUGUAAACAGCUUCCAAGAAUAUGUUAUUUCAAUUUGUCUGAUUUUUCCCAAACUAUUCAAAAUCAAUUAGAUGAUAUCCAUCAUGUUGUCAAUAAGUUUUCACAAAUGCCUGAGUUACCUGACUGGUUUUCUUAAUUUCAUUGGAUAUGGCUAGUAAUUAUAAGUCUGCCUUUGUUAUGUAUCUGUAUUCCUGUUCUGUUAAUGUGUGUACACAAUUUAAUAGUUUGUUAAAACCUAUAUAUGCUCAAGUUAUGUAUGUCUUUAGACAUGUUCGAUCUCAGCCAUGUAAUAUUUAAAGAAAGGAAGAGAUGUAGGGGACGGCUUUUGUCUUCCCCCCUGUCUAAGCACAGAAUAGGGAAGCACCAGCUUGAGAACAACUGGUGCAGUCCUUGGAAGUUAUCUACCCACAAAAACAUAUCUUGUCCUCGAAAACGAGCCAAGACGCCUCACGCUGUAAACAGGGAGAUCUUGGGGAUGUGUGAAAACACUGCCCCUGCUUACUGGGCAGAUCCUAAGAAAUCAACAAGAUGUUCUGGUCUGUCCCCCCUGAGAAGGGAAAGAUGAGUAUAGCACUUGGCUGAGGUCCAAGAAAGGCAGUAUAAAAAUAAAGGAGCUGUGCCACAUUGGG
Long non-coding RNA from Manis javanica (Malayan pangolin), 1155 nucleotides. RefSeq lists it as uncharacterized. The record is from RefSeq and is a predicted model, not a curated record. Lineage: Eukaryota; Metazoa; Chordata; Mammalia; Pholidota; Manidae.